RNAcentral lists this non-coding RNA (21 nucleotides) under Drosophila melanogaster (fruit fly). Lineage: Eukaryota; Metazoa; Arthropoda; Insecta; Diptera; Drosophilidae. The record is from RNAcentral.
CUAUGAAGAUGACACGGCGUU